This 72-nucleotide transfer RNA is filed under the name Ferrimonas balearica DSM 9799. It matches the Rfam family "tRNA". Rfam says of the family: Transfer RNA (tRNA) molecules are approximately 80 nucleotides in length. The record is from Rfam by way of RNAcentral. Lineage: Bacteria; Pseudomonadati; Pseudomonadota; Gammaproteobacteria; Alteromonadales; Ferrimonadaceae.
GCGGCUAUCGUAUAAUGGCCAUUACCCAAGCUUCCCAAGCUUGUGAUGUGGGUUCGAUUCCCACUAGCCGCU